RNAcentral lists this non-coding RNA (31 nucleotides) under Mus musculus (house mouse). The record is from RNAcentral. Lineage: Eukaryota; Metazoa; Chordata; Mammalia; Rodentia; Muridae.
UAUAAAGUUCUUGCAUUGCAAGUAUGAGGAC